This is a non-coding RNA of Tinamus guttatus (white-throated tinamou), 133 nucleotides long. NCBI's taxonomy places the organism in Eukaryota, Metazoa, Chordata, Aves, Tinamiformes, Tinamidae. The record is from RefSeq and is a predicted model, not a curated record.
GACCUUCUUCAGGUGAAUGUCUAUGUGCUGGGAAAAACUUUCCUUCUGUUGGCCAGAGAACUCUGCAUAAAUGCUCCAGCUAUAGCUUAGGCAACACAAGAAAAGCCUGAAUUUCUGCAUGGGGCAACUUCCU